AGAGUUUGAUCAUGGCUCAGAGCGAACGUCAGCGGCACGCCUAACACAUGCAAGUCGCACGAGAGUGGAGCAAUCCAUGAAAGUGGCGCACGGGUGCGUAACACGUAGAUAAUCUGCCCUUUGGCGGGGGAUAACGUUCCGAAAGGAGCGCUAAUACCGCAUACAGCAGUUUCUGGUUCGCCAGAGAUUGGCAAGGUUGGGACCAGCAAUGGCCAAUCGCCGAAGGAGGAGUCUGCGGCCCAUCAGCUAGUUGGUAAGGUAACGGCUUACCAAGGCAGAGACGGGUAGCUGGUCUGAGAGGAUGAUCAGCCACACUGGUACUGGAACACGGACCAGACUCCUACGGGAGGCAGCAGUGGGGAAUCUUGGUCAAUGGGCGCAAGCCUGAACCAGCGAUGCCGCGUGAGUGAUGAAGGCCUUCGGGUUGUAAAGCUCUGUGGGGAGGGACGAAAUCCUCGGUUCUAACAGGACUGAAUUUGACGGUACCUCCUUAGCAAGCACCGGCUAACUCUGUGCCAGCAGCCGCGGUAAUUC
RNAcentral lists this ribosomal RNA (534 nucleotides) under uncultured bacterium. RNAcentral describes it as "bacterial SSU rRNA". It matches the Rfam family "Bacterial small subunit ribosomal RNA", at positions 8 to 526 of the family's 1533-position model. The record is from RNAcentral.